This 1343-nucleotide ribosomal RNA is filed under the name uncultured bacterium. Its description in RNAcentral is "16S ribosomal RNA". It matches the Rfam family "Bacterial small subunit ribosomal RNA", at positions 28 to 1378 of the family's 1533-position model. The record is from RNAcentral.
GACGAACGCUUGCGGCGUGCUUAACACAUGCAAGUCGAACGGAAAGGCCCUGCUUUUGUGGGGUGCUCGAGUGGCGAACGGGUGAGUAACACGUGAGUAACCUGCCCUUGACUUUGGGAUAACUUCAGGAAACUGGGGCUAAUACCGGAUAGGAGCUCCUGCUGCAUGGUGGGGGUUGGAAAGUUUCGGCGGUUGGGGAUGGACUCGCGGCUUAUCAGCUUGUUGGUGGGGUAGUGGCUUACCAAGGCUUUGACGGGUAGCCGGCCUGAGAGGGUGACCGGCCACAUUGGGACUGAGAUACGGCCCAGACUCCUACGGGAGGCAGCAGUGGGGAAUAUUGCACAAUGGGCGGAAGCCUGAUGCAGCAACGCCGCGUGCGGGAUGACGGCCUUCGGGUUGUAAACCGCUUUCGCCUGUGACGAAGCGUGAGUGACGGUAAUGGGUAAAGAAGCACCGGCUAACUACGUGCCAGCAGCCGCGGUGAUACGUAGGGUGCGAGCGUUGUCCGGAUUUAUUGGGCGUAAAGGGCUCGUAGGUGGUUGAUCGCGUCGGAAGUGUAAUCUUGGGGCUUAACCCUGAGCGUGCUUUCGAUACGGGUUGACUUGAGGAAGGUAGGGGAGAAUGGAAUUCCUGGUGGAGCGGUGGAAUGCGCAGAUAUCAGGAGGAACACCAGUGGCGAAGGCGGUUCUCUGGGCCUUUCCUGACGCUGAGGAGCGAAAGCGUGGGGAGCGAACAGGCUUAGAUACCCUGGUAGUCCACGCUGUAAACGGUGGGUACUAGGUGUGGGGUCCAUUCCACGGGUUCCGUGCCGUAGCUAACGCUUUAAGUACCCCGCCUGGGGAGUACGGCCGCAAGGCUAAAACUCAAAGGAAUUGACGGGGCCCCGCACAAGCGGCGGAGCAUGCGGAUUAAUUCGAUGCAACGCGUAGAACCUUACCUGGGUUUGACAUGGAUCGGGAGUGCUCAGAGAUGGGUGUGCCUCUUUUGGGGUCGGUUCACAGGUGGUGCAUGCCUGUCGUCAGCUCGUGUCGUGAGAUGUUGGGUUAAGUCCCGCAACGAGCGCAACCCUUGUUCACUGUUGCCAGCACGUUAUGGUGGGGACUCAGUGGAGACCGCCGGGGUCAACUCGGAGGAAGGUGGGGAUGACGUCAAGUCCUCAUGCCCCUUAUGUCCAGGGCUUCACGCAUGCUACAAUGGCUGGUACAGAGAGUGGCGAGCCUGUGAGGGUGAGCGAAUCUCGGAAAGCCGGUCUCAGUUCGGAUUGGGGUCUGCAACUCGACCUCAUGAAGUCGGAGUCACUAGUAAUCGCAGAUCAGCAACGCUGCGGUGAAUACGUUCCCGGG